UACGAAGGGGGCUAGCGUUGUUCGGAGUUACUGGGCGUAAAGGGUGCGUAGGCGGUUGUUUAAGUUUGGUGUGAAAUCUCCCGGCUCAACUGGGAGGGUGCGCCGAAUACUGAAUGACUAGAGUGCGGGAGAGGAGAGUGGAAUUCCUGGUGUAGCGGUGAAAUGCGUAGAUAUCAGGAGGAACACCGGUGGUGUAAACGGCUUUCUGGACCAUAACGUGACGCUGAUGCACGAAAGCGUGGGUAGCAAACAGG
This 254-nucleotide ribosomal RNA is filed under the name uncultured bacterium. Its description in RNAcentral is "partial 16S ribosomal RNA". It matches the Rfam family "Bacterial small subunit ribosomal RNA", at positions 524 to 776 of the family's 1533-position model. The record is from RNAcentral.